CGCCCUCCUGUGCGUCGUUUGUCCAAUCUUCCGCAUGGCGCGCCUGGCUGCUUGUUGUCGCACCUUGGUAUUAUUUUUGAUGCUUUCCCAAUUUCCCCUGAUGCUUCCACUUCUAUCGUGUUCUACAAUGUCAGCGUAUAAACUAGUCCCAACUUUGCAAUAAUGUGUGUAUAUGUAUCCAGUCAUAUACCAAGGGUAUUGUUGAACUCAAUUUGAUGUAAUUGUCAAUUUCAUUUCAUAUAUUGUAGAAAAACAAGAUGAAGAGAUUUCAUAUUGAGUGAGAUGUAUUUGCAAGUAUUGAUGAUGAUGAUAUUGUAUAUCAAUUUCUAUCAUGUAGGUCUCGCAAAGGGCUUUUACCUCGUCGAAGUGGUAAGUUUUUAUACUUGUAUCAAUGAUAAUUGUUUCACUUGACGUCGUUUAUGCCUUCUCUUAUGAAAAUUUUCUUUUGAUGUCUUGAAGGUAUUGGCUCUUCUUCCUCCGAUGACGAGAUUAUGUGAGGUACUGGUGAAGCAAACAGGAGGCGUUGGCUCUUCUUUUGAUUUGGUACUCUUUUUUUAUCACAUACCGUUCUUUGUAGUUUUUGACAUGUUUUUAAUUUUUUAAUUGUAUUGUUGGGCAUAGGGUUUUAAUUCUAAAUUUUUCAUGCAAUUGAGCCAUAUUUUGUAUGGGGUAUCUUUUGUGAUAGCUAAAUGACCUAUAGACGUUUAGUUUUUCCUUGCGGCGAU
This 725-nucleotide long non-coding RNA is filed under the name Triticum aestivum (bread wheat). Its description in RNAcentral is "long non-coding RNA (TAES_LNC006273)". The record is from RNAcentral. Lineage: Eukaryota; Viridiplantae; Streptophyta; Magnoliopsida; Poales; Poaceae.